Molecule: long non-coding RNA, 89 nt
Organism: Telopea speciosissima
Lineage: Eukaryota; Viridiplantae; Streptophyta; Magnoliopsida; Proteales; Proteaceae
Exons: 3
Source: RefSeq, a predicted model, not a curated record
UCUCUCACAGGUUGUGUCAAACGUACUGGAUAUGAAGUUGUGAGAUGAUUUGGAACGACUGAAGAAGAUUAGCAACCAUCGUGAUCUGG